CAGUCGCCGCGGUAAUACGAAGGGGGCUAGCGUUGUUCGGAAUUACUGGGCGUAAAGGGCGCGUAGGCGGCCAUUCAAGUUAGAUGUGAAAGCCCUGGGCUCAACCUAGGAAUUGCAUUUGAUACUGUUUGGCUUGAGUUCGGGAGAGGUGAGUGGAAUUCCCAGUGUAGAGGUGAAAUUCGUAGAUAUUGGGUAGAACACCAGUGGCGAAGGCGGCUCACUGGCUCAUUCUAGACGCUGAGGUGCGAAAGCGUGGGGAGCAAACAGGAUUAGAGACCCCGGUAGUCCCUGUCUCUUAUAC
Molecule: ribosomal RNA, 301 nt
Filed under: uncultured bacterium
Lineage: Bacteria
Description: partial 16S ribosomal RNA
Rfam family: Bacterial small subunit ribosomal RNA
Source: RNAcentral